Molecule: long non-coding RNA, 713 nt
Organism: Helianthus annuus (common sunflower)
Lineage: Eukaryota; Viridiplantae; Streptophyta; Magnoliopsida; Asterales; Asteraceae
Exons: 3
Source: RefSeq, a predicted model, not a curated record
AGUCCUCAACUUCUGGAAAUUACACCGUUGCUCCCUGUGGUUUGAUAGUUCGUUACUCGGAUAGUCCCUAGAGUGGAUGAUGGUUAGUUUUCUCCAUUAAGUGGAUGUGAAAUGACAAAUUUACCCUUCAUCCUCUCCACUUUAUAAAAACAAAACAACCCCACCCAACCCCACCUUUCUCUUUGUUUACCUGCACUUGAGCCCUCUUAACUUCACCAUUACUUUAUGGCCGGAAAUCCUAAUCAUCUUCUGUGAAUGGAUAAUACCCUUUUGACAGGUGCGGUUUUAAUUUAUUAAUCCUAACGCCGUUAAAUCGCUUCCGGAAAAGUAUGAGAUGUUGAAUAAAUUCUUUCAUAGCUUAACAUCCUCUGUUAGAUUGCUUCUAUUGAAAGAAUCUAUGUCAACGGUUACGAAUAUUAGCCGUCAGGUUCAGAGCUUAACGGAGAGGAGUUUUGGUUAUAAUCAUUUAGGUUAGCUUAAGUUUAUUAUGCCAGAGGCAAUUGAGAUCAAGAUGAUCCUUAUUCGCGAUGAUCGGACGAAUUGUAUGAAGCCAGAUCUUCAUAUCACUUUGAAUUUCGUUAUAGUUGAAAACGACGAAAAUAUGAGUUCUGAUGGCGCUUAGUUCAAAACAAGUUCCAAUCGAAGACGUAGAAACAGAUAAGAAAGAAUCCAGUGUGUUAACUUCUGAACCUCAAGUUCACCAUAGCUCCAAC